UACGUAGGGUGCAAGCGUUGUUCGGAAUCAUUGGGCGUAAAGCGUGUGCAGGCGGUUAGUUAAGUCAGGUGUGAAAUCCCUGGGCUCAACCGAGGAAGUGCAUUUGAAACUAACUAGCUAGAAGACAGUAGAGGAAGGUGGAAUUCCAAGUGUAGAGGUGAAAUUCGUAGAUAUUUGGAGGAAUACCGGCGGCGAAGGCGGCCUUCUGGACUGUUCUUGACGCUGAGACACGAAAGCGUGGGUAGCAAAC
RNAcentral lists this ribosomal RNA (250 nucleotides) under uncultured bacterium. RNAcentral's name for it is "partial 16S ribosomal RNA". It matches the Rfam family "Bacterial small subunit ribosomal RNA", at positions 524 to 773 of the family's 1533-position model. The record is from RNAcentral.